UUGUCCAAAGAUGAAGGUUUAGGUGAAAUGCAACCAUCUAUGUUUUCUCAAUUAUUCUACAACUCUGCAUAGAUCGGUCAGGAGAUAUAUGCACUCUUUAAAGAACUUGUUCAUGAACUUCACUUUAUGACUCAGUCUUGCAAUAACAUUUACAUGAUUCAUGGUUAAGCAUUGCUCAAUAUGCAUACAUGAAGUUUCUUUGAACACAGCAACAAAGAAGGUAAAUCUCUUCGCAAUAAUACAUUCCUAAAUCAGAAGCAGAAUCAUGUUCUCUAAGGCUUGGCUUUAGUGGUCGAUUGCUUAGGUGUAAGCUCUUGAGACAACAUGAGAUCAUUAAUAGAGGUUGAUGCAGCAACCCUCUUGGCAGGAGUCGUGCUAGAGCUCGCAGAUGGGCUCCCAGAAUUGUUUGCAGCAACCGACAUGGGAGCAGAUUGUGUUGGUUCAGAAGAUUGUGUUCCCUAGUUAUGCAACAGGGAAAAUAUGAACAUGCUUGGAUAUUAGGAUAAAUCUUUACAAAAAAUUGUAAUAUGUAUUAUAAAUGAAAUGGCAUACAUUAGUUUGGGUUGGGUCCUCAGCAUGACCAGCAAUUUCAAUUUCCUUCCCAACAGCAUUUGAGGUUAGCUGAUGCAAUUUAAACAUAUAUUUUCUAUG
Molecule: long non-coding RNA, 651 nt
Organism: Vicia villosa (hairy vetch)
Lineage: Eukaryota; Viridiplantae; Streptophyta; Magnoliopsida; Fabales; Fabaceae
Exons: 3
Source: RefSeq, a predicted model, not a curated record